RNAcentral lists this unclassified non-coding RNA (314 nucleotides) under plant metagenome. RNAcentral describes it as "partial contains 5.8S ribosomal RNA, internal transcribed spacer 2, and large subunit ribosomal RNA". The stretch from base 1 to 105 matches the Rfam family "5.8S ribosomal RNA", at positions 50 to 154 of the family's 154-position model. The record is from RNAcentral.
GAAAUGCGAUAAUUAAUGUGAAUCGCAGAAUUCAGUGAAUCAUCGAGUCUUUGAACGCACAUUGCGCCCCCUGGUAUUCCGGGGGGCAUGCCUGUCCGAGCGUCAUUGCUGCCCUCAAGCACGGCUUGUGUGUUGGGCUUCCGUCCCUGGCAACGGGGACGGGCCCAAAAGGCAGUGGCGACACCAUGUCUGGUCCUCGAGCGUAUGGGGCUUUGUCACCCGCUCCCGUAGGUCCAGCUGGCAGCCAGCCUCGCAACCAAUCUUUUUAACCAGGUUGACCUCGGAUCAGGUAGGGUUACCCGCUGAACUUAAGC